RNAcentral lists this non-coding RNA (124 nucleotides) under Liquorilactobacillus cacaonum DSM 21116. RNAcentral's name for it is "Lactobacillus cacaonum DSM 21116 Enterococcus sRNA 68 (Lacto-3 RNA)". It matches the Rfam family "Enterococcus sRNA 68 (Lacto-3 RNA)". From Rfam's summary of the family: Name 'Ref' stands for RNA in E. faecalis. Also known as Lacto-3 RNA. Lineage: Bacteria; Bacillati; Bacillota; Bacilli; Lactobacillales; Lactobacillaceae. The record is from Rfam by way of RNAcentral.
UGCGAUGAGUCGAAGUAAUCAGACGAAUUUAUUCGUUCCGCUGUGGCGGCUAGUGAUUUUUUUCGAACGGGACACAUAUACUGGCGGAUUUCCAGUGUGUUUGUAGGUGUUCAUUGUGGAGUGA